ACGAUGACUCCUCACCUGUUGUGAUGUGGCGGGAGCUCACCAGCAGGUGUCGCUGUGGUACAACGUGCUCUGGAGGUUUCAGUGAUCUGAGCCGCACUGGACCACAUGAGAGGAGAAGUAUCCCGGGUUGUUUGACGACGUCCACAAAGGAAGGACGAGGCAUGUGUGUGUGUGUGUGUGUGUGUGUGUGUGCAGAGAGCAUGGUGGUCCAACGCCCCCCCCCCUCACCUCGGCUGUGUGUACCGUCUGUCCUGUCGUCCUUUCAGAUUCACCACCAGGUAAAUACACACUGUCCGACCCCAAACAGUGACCCUGCAGGAGGAAGAGGAGGAGGAGGAGGAAGAGGAGGAAGUGGAGGAGGAGGAACCAGACAGUCUCCUCUCUCUCUCUUCUUUUUGACUCCUGUCCAUAAUCCUCAAGGUUUUUCAUGAAAUCAAAUAUUCAGGUAUUCUUUUUCAUUUUCAGUCUUGGAAUUGUACGGUUACCAACAUGUCACAGCAACAAAAACAUAUCAACUCUUUGUGUUUUUCUUAUUUAAUUUUCAAUAAUCUAUAACUGAAACAUUACAUUCUAAAAUUGUGCUUUGAGUUCAACGCCCUAUUGUAUGUCACAUUAGAUUAGAUGAGAUAAUAUAUGAUAAGCUAUGAAGAGAUGAGAUAUGAUAAUAGAAGAUGAGACAAAAAAAAGUAUUGAUUCAUGAGUAUGAGUGUGUAUGAAUAUCAACUAAUGAUGUCCUGCAUAUUGUUUCUGCUGAUAUUGUUUUGUUGUUUCCAGAUGAUGGUGGUCUUUAUAUUUACAACAAAGUGUUAGGGUCAUUUGUUACUUUUAUUCAUUUUUAAAAAUAAAAUCUGUAAUCUGUAAAGAAUAAUAAUAAAGGCCUGAGAUCAAUUAUUUUCAAAGAAGUACAAUAUUACAAAAUCCAAAGAAGAAGUUUAAUGUAGCAUAAAAAUAGUA
Long non-coding RNA from Scophthalmus maximus (turbot), 954 nucleotides. RefSeq lists it as uncharacterized. The record is from RefSeq and is a predicted model, not a curated record. The transcript is spliced from 3 exons. NCBI's taxonomy places the organism in Eukaryota, Metazoa, Chordata, Actinopteri, Pleuronectiformes, Scophthalmidae.